UUAAUUAUAGCUAUAAAAGCAAAAUCACUGUUAAUGAUUAGAAAAGAAAAUUUAACUUUAAUUAAG
Molecule: transfer RNA, 66 nt
Filed under: Altiverruca navicula
Lineage: Eukaryota; Metazoa; Arthropoda; Thecostraca; Verrucomorpha; Verrucidae
Description: tRNA-Asn
Source: RNAcentral